RNAcentral lists this ribosomal RNA (709 nucleotides) under Rhodococcus (subgen. Prescottella) equi. RNAcentral describes it as "Prescottella equi bacterial SSU rRNA". It matches the Rfam family "Bacterial small subunit ribosomal RNA", at positions 56 to 782 of the family's 1533-position model. The record is from RNAcentral. Lineage: Bacteria; Bacillati; Actinomycetota; Actinomycetes; Mycobacteriales; Nocardiaceae.
UGCAAGUCGAACGGUAAGGCCCUUCGGGGUACACGAGUGGCGAACGGGUGAGUAACACGUGGGUGAUCUGCCCUGCACUCUGGGAUAAGCCUGGGAAACUGGGUCUAAUACCGGAUAGGAGCUCCUGUCGCAUGGCGGGGGUUGGAAAGGUUUACUGGUGCAGGAUGGGCCCGCGGCCUAUCAGCUUGUUGGUGGGGUAAUGGCCUACCAAGGCGACGACGGGUAGCCGGCCUGAGAGGGCGACCGGCCACACUGGGACUGAGACACGGCCCAGACUCCUACGGGAGGCAGCAGUGGGGAAUAUUGCACAAUGGGCGAAAGCCUGAUGCAGCGACGCCGCGUGAGGGAUGACGGCCUUCGGGUUGUAAACCUCUUUCAGCAGGGACGAAGCGAGAGUGACGGUACCUGCAGAAGAAGCACCGGCCAACUACGUGCCAGCAGCCGCGGUAAUACGUAGGGUGCGAGCGUUGUCCGGAAUUACUGGGCGUAAAGAGCUCGUAGGCGGUUUGUCGCGUCGUCCGUGAAAACUUGGGGCUCAACCCCAAGCUUGCGGGCGAUACGGGCAGACUUGAGUACUGCAGGGGAGACUGGAAUUCCUGGUGUAGCGGUGAAAUGCGCAGAUAUCAGGAGGAACACCGGUGGCGAAGGCGGGUCUCUGGGCAGUAACUGACGCUGAGGAGCGAAAGCGUGGGUAGCGAACAGGAUUAGA